UACGGAGGAUGCGAGCGUUAUCCGGAUUUAUUGGGUUUAAAGGGUGCGUAGGCGGGCAUUUAAGCCGGCGGUCAAAUGUCGGGGCUCAACCCCGGCCUGCCGUCGGAACUGGGUGCCUUGAGUGGGCGAGAAGUAUGCGGAAUGCGUGGUGUAGCGGUGAAAUGCAUAGAUAUUAGGAGGAACAUCAGUGGCGAAGGCGACUUUCUGGACUGCAACUGACACUGAGGCACGAAAGCGUGGGGAUCGAACAGG
This 252-nucleotide ribosomal RNA is filed under the name uncultured Bacteroidales bacterium. Its description in RNAcentral is "partial 16S ribosomal RNA". It matches the Rfam family "Bacterial small subunit ribosomal RNA", at positions 524 to 776 of the family's 1533-position model. Lineage: Bacteria; Pseudomonadati; Bacteroidota; Bacteroidia; Bacteroidales. The record is from RNAcentral.